CUCUAGUUUGGACUAGAUGCUCUAAGAGGCUGCUGGAAUCUUCCCUCAUUUCAUUAUCCCGUUAUGAUGGAGCAGGAUCCAGAGAGCACCCAAUUUACCCAGACCCAGCGAGAUUAUCUCCUGCUGCAUACUACGCCCAGAGGAUGAUCCAGUAUCUCUCACGGAGAGACAGUAUUCGCCAGCGCUCCAUGCGCUACCAACAGAACCGUCUCCGUUCUUCCACCUCCUCCUCUUCCUCAGACAACCAGGGUCCAUCAGUAGAGGGAACCGACUUGGAAUUUGAGGACUUUGAAUGAAUGACCAUCUUCCUGGGCAGGCUUCCUCUCCUGCCAUUCAUCUCUGUCUACAGCAAGGAUUGAGACUGCAGGGUCCUUGUGUUUAUCAAACUGCACAAACAGGACAUCCAGAAACCUGCUGUCAGCAGGUCUCUCCUGAAGCUCUCAGCAGCUGCCUUUGCAUAAAGAUGUUCAUAAGCAGGGUAAA
This 483-nucleotide small RNA is filed under the name Pan troglodytes (chimpanzee). RNAcentral describes it as "processed transcript". Lineage: Eukaryota; Metazoa; Chordata; Mammalia; Primates; Hominidae. The record is from RNAcentral.